This 19-nucleotide microRNA is filed under the name Corchorus olitorius. RNAcentral's name for it is "mmu-miR-466h-". The record is from RNAcentral. Lineage: Eukaryota; Viridiplantae; Streptophyta; Magnoliopsida; Malvales; Malvaceae.
UCCGCACCCACACACACAC